CCUUUACAUAUAAAUAAGAUUUAAAAGAAUUUACUUAUUUUUAUGGCUUUGAAGGCCAUUAGUUUAUA
RNAcentral lists this transfer RNA (68 nucleotides) under Rhinolithodes wosnessenskii. Its description in RNAcentral is "tRNA-Gln". Lineage: Eukaryota; Metazoa; Arthropoda; Malacostraca; Decapoda; Lithodidae. The record is from RNAcentral.